RNAcentral lists this ribosomal RNA (484 nucleotides) under uncultured bacterium. Its description in RNAcentral is "partial 16S ribosomal RNA". It matches the Rfam family "Bacterial small subunit ribosomal RNA", at positions 29 to 507 of the family's 1533-position model. The record is from RNAcentral.
AUUGAACGCUGGCGGCAUGCUUUACACAUGCAAGUCGAACGGCAGCGCGGGCUUCGGCCUGGCGGCGAGUGGCGAACGGGUGAGUAAUACAUCGGAACGUGCCCAGUAGUGGGGGAUAGCUCGGCGAAAGCCGGAUUAAUACCGCAUACGACCUGAGGGUGAAAGCGGGGGAUCUUCGGACCUCGCGCUAUUGGAGCGGCCGAUGGCCGAUUAGCUAGUUGGUGGGGUAAAGGCCUACCAAGGCGACGAUCUGUAGCUGGUCUGAGAGGACGACCAGCCACACGGGGACUGAGACACGGCCCAGACUCCUACGGGAGGCAGCAGUGGGGAAUUUUGGACAAUGGGGGAAAGCCUGAUCCAGCAAUGCCGCGUGUGUGAUGAAGGCCUUCGGGUUGUAAAGCACUUUUGGCGGGAACGAAAAGGACUGUGCCAAUACCACGGUUCGAUGACGGUACCCGCAGAAUAAGCACCGGCUAACUACGUG